AAAAGUACUCUGAAAAGAGAGUUAAAAAGUACGUGAAACCGUUGGAAGGGAAGCGAAUGGAGUCGGCAAUUCGCCUCGACGUGCUCUCUCGCGACCUGUUCAGGCGCGAAUUGCGCGGUCGCGUUACGCGUGUGGUGCACUUCGGCGGGCGAGCGUCAACGCCAGUCAACCGCGAGUUACAAAGCUGCAAGCACGGUACAUUCUUCGGAAUGGGUAAGUCUUGCCUGCGCACGACUCGCGCGAGACUGUCCUCUGUCGCAGCGUGUACCGAGGCUGCUGCCUUCGUUGUCGAUCCGGUCGUGCUGUCCGGCGGACGGCUGUGCCUGUGCGUCGGCGGUGCCGAUCAACUGACCUAGUCGCAGACACGACACGCUCAGUACGUUGACCGACCUGCGUCUCCAUCCGACCCGUCUUGAAACACGGACCAAGGAGUCCAACAUGUGCGCAAGUCUCAGGGUGAUCGAAACCCGUCGGGCGCAAUGAAAGUAAAUGCGGUCUCGCCUGCAGAGAUGAGAAGCGGCGCCGCCACAUCAUCGACCGACCUGUUCUACUCUUAGAAAGGUUUGAGUUAGAGCGCACCUGUUGGGACCCGAAAGAUGGUGAACUAUGCCUGAAUAGGGCGAAGCCAGCGGAAACACUGGUGGAAGCUCGUAGCGUUUCUGACGUGCAAAUCGAUCGUCGAAUUUGGGUAUAGCGGCGAAAGACUAAUCGAACCAUCUAGUAGCUGGUUCCCUCUGAAGUUUCUCACAGGAUAGCUGGAACUCGGAUGCAGUUU
Molecule: ribosomal RNA, 775 nt
Filed under: Chrysogorgiidae sp. SW0714
Lineage: Eukaryota; Metazoa; Cnidaria; Anthozoa; Scleralcyonacea; Chrysogorgiidae
Description: eukaryotic LSU rRNA
Rfam family: Eukaryotic large subunit ribosomal RNA
Source: RNAcentral